UACGUAGGUGGCAAGCGUUGUCCGGAGUUAUUGGGCGUAAAGCGCGCGCAGGCGGUGCGGUAAGUCUCUGGUGAAAGCGCUCGGCUUAACUGGGCGAGGGCCGGGGAGACUGCCACGCUGGAGGGGAGCAGAGGCGAGUGGAAUUCCGGGUGUAGUGGUGAAAUGCGUAGAGAUCCGGAGGAACACCAGUGGCGAAGGCGGCUCGCUGGGCUCUACCUGACGCUGAGGCGCGAAAGCGUGGGGAGCAAACAGG
This 253-nucleotide ribosomal RNA is filed under the name uncultured bacterium. RNAcentral's name for it is "partial 16S ribosomal RNA". It matches the Rfam family "Bacterial small subunit ribosomal RNA", at positions 524 to 776 of the family's 1533-position model. The record is from RNAcentral.